AGAGUUUGAUCAUGGCUCAGAUUGAACGCUGGCGGCAGGCCUAACACAUGCAAGUCGAACGGUAACAGGAAGCAGCUUGCUGCUUCGCUGACGAGUGGCGGACGGGUGAGUAAUGUCUGGGAAACUGCCUGAUGGAGGGGGAUAACUACUGGAAACGGUGGCUAAUACCGCAUAACGUCGCAAGACCAAAGAGGGGGACCUUCGGGCCUCUUGCCAUCAGAUGUGCCCAGAUGGGAUUAGCUAGUUGGUGAGGUAACGGCUCACCAAGGCGACGAUCCCUAGCUGGUCUGAGAGGAUGACCAGCCACACUGGAACUGAGACACGGUCCAGACUCCUACGGGAGGCAGCAGUGGGGAAUAUUGCACAAUGGGCGCAAGCCUGAUGCAGCCAUGCCGCGUGUAUGAAGAAGGCCUUCGGGUUGUAAAGUACUUUCAGCGGGGAGGAAGGUGUUGUGGUUAAUAACCGCAGCAAUUGACGUUACCCGCAGAAGAAGCACCGGCUAACUCCGUGCCAGCAGCCGCGGUAAUACGGAGGGUGCAAGCGUUAAUCGGAAUUACUGGGCGUAAAGCGCACGCAGGCGGUCUGUCAAGUCGGAUGUGAAAUCCCCGGGCUCAACCUGGGAACUGCAUUCGAAACUGGCAGGCUUGAGUCUUGUAGAGGGGGGUAGAAUUCCAGGUGUAGCGGUGAAAUGCGUAGAGAUCUGGAGGAAUACCGGUGGCGAAGGCGGCCCCCUGGACAAAGACUGACGCUCAGGUGCGAAAGCGUGGGGAGCAAACAGGAUUAGAUACCCUGGUAGUCCACGCCGUAAACGAUGUCUACUUGGAGGUUGUGCCCUUGAGGCGUGGCUUCCGGAGCUAACGCGUUAAGUAGACCGCCUGGGGAGUACGGCCGCAAGGUUAAAACUCAAAUGAAUUGACGGGGGCCCGCACAAGCGGUGGAGCAUGUGGUUUAAUUCGAUGCAACGCGAAGAACCUUACCUGGUCUUGACAUCCACAGAACUUUCCAGAGAUGGAUUGGUGCCUUCGGGAACUGUGAGACAGGUGCUGCAUGGCUGUCGUCAGCUCGUGUUGUGAAAUGUUGGGUUAAGUCC
RNAcentral lists this ribosomal RNA (1090 nucleotides) under Salmonella enterica subsp. enterica serovar Typhimurium str. DT104. Its description in RNAcentral is "bacterial SSU rRNA". It matches the Rfam family "Bacterial small subunit ribosomal RNA", at positions 8 to 1087 of the family's 1533-position model. Lineage: Bacteria; Pseudomonadati; Pseudomonadota; Gammaproteobacteria; Enterobacterales; Enterobacteriaceae. The record is from RNAcentral.